This 494-nucleotide ribosomal RNA is filed under the name Salmonella enterica. RNAcentral describes it as "bacterial SSU rRNA". It matches the Rfam family "Bacterial small subunit ribosomal RNA", at positions 636 to 1129 of the family's 1533-position model. Lineage: Bacteria; Pseudomonadati; Pseudomonadota; Gammaproteobacteria; Enterobacterales; Enterobacteriaceae. The record is from RNAcentral.
GCAGGCUUGAGUCUUGUAGAGGGGGGUAGAAUUCCAGGUGUAGCGGUGAAAUGCGUAGAGAUCUGGAGGAAUACCGGUGGCGAAGGCGGCCCCCUGGACAAAGACUGACGCUCAGGUGCGAAAGCGUGGGGAGCAAACAGGAUUAGAUACCCUGGUAGUCCACGCCGUAAACGAUGUCUACUUGGAGGUUGUGCCCUUGAGGCGUGGCUUCCGGAGCUAACGCGUUAAGUAGACCGCCUGGGGAGUACGGCCGCAAGGUUAAAACUCAAAUGAAUUGACGGGGGCCCGCACAAGCGGUGGAGCAUGUGGUUUAAUUCGAUGCAACGCGAAGAACCUUACCUGGUCUUGACAUCCACAGAAGAAUCCAGAGAUGGAUUUGUGCCUUCGGGAACUGUGAGACAGGUGCUGCAUGGCUGUCGUCAGCUCGUGUUGUGAAAUGUUGGGUUAAGUCCCGCAACGAGCGCAACCCUUAUCCUUUGUUGCCAGCGAUUAGG